GAUGAACGCUGGCGGCGUGCCUAAUACAUGCAAGUCGAGCGAACAGACGAGGAGCUUGCUCCUCUGACGUUAGCGGCGGACGGGUGAGUAACACGUGGAUAACCUACCUCUUUUUCUUGUAUAACUUCGUGAAACCGGUUCUUAUACCGGCUAAUAUUUUUUACCGCUUGGUUCAUUAGUUCUUUACGGUUUUCCUGUCUCUUUUAGAUGGUUCCGCGCUGCAUUAUCUAGUUGGUAAGGUAACGCCUUACCAAGGCUACGAUGCGUAGCCGACCUGAGAGGGUGAUCGGCCAAACUGGAACUGAGACACGGUCCAGACGCCUACGGGAGGCAGCAGUAGGGAAUAUUGGGCAAUGGGCGAAAGCAUGACGGAGAAACGCCGAGUGAGUGAAGAAGGUCUUCGGAUCGUAAAACUCUGUUAUUAGGGAAGAAAAAAAGUGUAAGUAAAUAUGCACGUAGUGACGGUACCUAAAAAGAAAGCAACGGCUAACUACGUG
This 497-nucleotide ribosomal RNA is filed under the name uncultured bacterium. RNAcentral's name for it is "partial 16S ribosomal RNA". It matches the Rfam family "Bacterial small subunit ribosomal RNA", at positions 28 to 507 of the family's 1533-position model. The record is from RNAcentral.